CCCGCUGAACUUAAGCAUAUUACUAAGCGGAGGAAAAGAAAUUAACAAAGAUUGCCUUAGUAAGGGCGACUGAACCGGCAAAAGCUCAAAAUUGGAAUCGAAAAUUCAAUGAAUCUUCGAAUUGUAAUCAGGCCAGCCUAAAUACGAGAGUUAGUUUAAAGGCGUCGAAACGUCUGCCAAGGAGGGUGAAAGCCCCGUGUAGCUUUCUCUCGAGUAAGGUGAGCCCCACAAGAGUCGGGUUGCUUGGAACUGCAGCCCUAAGCGGGAGAUAUGAAUCUUCCAAAGCUAAAUAAGGAUGGGAGACCGAUAGCGAACAAGUACUGUGAAGGAAAGAUGAAAAGGACUUUGAAAAGAGAGUGAAAAGAUCUGAAAUCGUUGAGAAGGAAGCGGUAGAAACUGAUGGUCGUACUGAUAGAUAUCGCGGUGAACAACUGCGUAGUUCUUACCGGAACGAUGGGCAAAAUGAAGUCGAAAGCGUCAAAAAAGGCUUUAGCCGCAUAAGGCGUAAUCGGCUUGAGGGACUAUUGUGAUUUUGCCAAAAUGGUUUCUACCGUCCCGUCUUGAAACACGG
RNAcentral lists this ribosomal RNA (571 nucleotides) under uncultured fungus. RNAcentral's name for it is "eukaryotic LSU rRNA". It matches the Rfam family "Eukaryotic large subunit ribosomal RNA", at positions 24 to 664 of the family's 3401-position model. The record is from RNAcentral. Lineage: Eukaryota; Fungi.